UACGGAGGGUGCAAGCGUUAAUCGGAAUUACUGGGCGUAAAGCGCGCGUAGGCGGCUAGGUCAGUCGGAUGUGAAAGCCCCGGGCUCAACCUGGGAACGGCAUUCGAUACUGCCUGGCUAGAGUACGAGAGAGGGGGGUGGAAUUCCUAGUGUAGCGGUGAAAUGCGUAGAUAUUAGGAGGAACACCAGUGGCGAAGGCGGCCCCCUGGCUCGAUACUGACGCUGAGGUGCGAAAGCGUGGGUAGCAAACAGG
RNAcentral lists this ribosomal RNA (253 nucleotides) under uncultured bacterium. RNAcentral describes it as "partial 16S ribosomal RNA". It matches the Rfam family "Bacterial small subunit ribosomal RNA", at positions 524 to 776 of the family's 1533-position model. The record is from RNAcentral.